RNAcentral lists this ribosomal RNA (592 nucleotides) under Fusarium sp. NRRL 52797. Its description in RNAcentral is "eukaryotic LSU rRNA". It matches the Rfam family "Eukaryotic large subunit ribosomal RNA", at positions 1 to 591 of the family's 3401-position model. Lineage: Eukaryota; Fungi; Ascomycota; Sordariomycetes; Hypocreales; Nectriaceae. The record is from RNAcentral.
AACUUCUGAAUGUUGACCUCGGAUCAGGUAGGAAUACCCGCUGAACUUAAGCAUAUCAAUAAGCGGAGGAAAAGAAACCAACAGGGAUUGCCCUAGUAACGGCGAGUGAAGCGGCAACAGCUCAAAUUUGAAAUCUGGCUCUCGGGCCCGAGUUGUAAUUUGUAGAGGAUGCUUUUGAUGCGGUGCCUUCCGAGUUCCCUGGAACGGGACGCCAUAGAGGGUGAGAGCCCCGUCUGGUUGGAUGCCAAAUCUCUGUAAAGCUCCUUCGACGAGUCGAGUAGUUUGGGAAUGCUGCUCUAAAUGGGAGGUAUAUGUCUUCUAAAGCUAAAUAUUGGCCAGAGACCGAUAGCGCACAAGUAGAGUGAUCGAAAGAUGAAAAGCACUUUGAAAAGAGAGUUAAAAAGUACGUGAAAUUGUUGAAAGGGAAGCGUUUAUGACCAGACUUGGGCUUGGUUAAUCAUCUGGGGUUCUCCCCAGUGCACUUUUCCAGUCCAGGCCAGCAUCAGUUUUCGCCGGGGGAUAAAGGCUUCGGGAAUGUGGCUCUCUCCGGGGAGUGUUAUAGCCCGUUGCGUAAUACCCUGGCGGGGACUGA